Dioscorea cayenensis subsp. rotundata (Guinea yam) is the source of this 107-nucleotide small nucleolar RNA. The record is from RefSeq and is a predicted model, not a curated record. Lineage: Eukaryota; Viridiplantae; Streptophyta; Magnoliopsida; Dioscoreales; Dioscoreaceae.
AUUCUGUGCUGCGGACAUUUUCUCAACAUCUCCUUGUAACUUUCCCAUGUAUCGUAUAAGGAUUCAAAUUCCAAUUGGUGGAAAGAGGAGAUUUCGCUUCUUAGUUU